GAUGAACGCUGGCGGCGUGCCUAAUACAUGCAAGUCGAGCGAACGGACGAGAAGCUUGCUUCUCUGAUGUUAGCGGCGGACGGGUGAGUAACACGUGGAUAACCUACUUAUAAGACUGGGAUAACUUCGGGAAACCGGAGCUAAUACCGGAUAAUAUUUUGAACCGCAUGGUUCAAAAGUGAAAGACGGUCUUGCUGUCACUUAUAGAUGGAUCCGCGCUGCAUUAGCUAGUUGGUAAGGUAACGGCUUACCAAGGCAACGAUGCAUAGCCGACCUGAGAGGGUGAUCGGCCACACUGGAACUGAGACACGGUCCAGACUCCUACGGGAGGCAGCAGUAGGGAAUCUUCCGCAAUGGGCGAAAGCCUGACGGAGCAACGCCGCGUGAGUGAUGAAGGUCUUCGGAUCGUAAAACUCUGUUAUUAGGGAAGAACAUAUGUGUAAGUAACUGUGCACAUCUUGACGGUACCUAAUCAGAAAGCCACGGCUAACUACGCG
This 497-nucleotide ribosomal RNA is filed under the name uncultured bacterium. Its description in RNAcentral is "partial 16S ribosomal RNA". It matches the Rfam family "Bacterial small subunit ribosomal RNA", at positions 28 to 507 of the family's 1533-position model. The record is from RNAcentral.